RNAcentral lists this ribosomal RNA (383 nucleotides) under Rallus aquaticus. RNAcentral's name for it is "partial 12S small subunit ribosomal RNA". It matches the Rfam family "Bacterial small subunit ribosomal RNA", at positions 794 to 1379 of the family's 1533-position model. The record is from RNAcentral. Lineage: Eukaryota; Metazoa; Chordata; Aves; Gruiformes; Rallidae.
GCCUGGCCCUAAAUCUAGAUGUUUACCCCCACCAAAACAUCCGCCCGAGAACUACGAGCACAAACGCUUAAAACUCUAAGGACUUGGCGGUGCUCCAAACCCACCUAGAGGAGCCUGUUCUGUAAUCGAUAACCCACGAUGCACCCAACCCCCCCUUGCCCCAAGCAGCCUACAUACCGCCGUCCCCAGCUCACCUUCUCUGAGAGCUUAACAGUGAGCAUAACAACGCCGCUAACAAGACAGGUCAAGGUAUAGCCCAUGAGGGGGAAGAAAUGGGCUACAUUUUCUAGAUUAGAAUACGAAAAGAGGCCUGAAAUAGCCUCUAGAAGGAGGAUUUAGCAGUAAAGAGGGGUAAGAAUACCCUCUUAAACUCGGCCCUGGAG